CCUACGGGAGGCUGCAGUGGGGGAUAUUGCACAAUGGGGGGAACCCUGAUGCAGCGACGCCGCGUGGGUGAAGAAGCGCCUCGGCGCGUAAAGCCCUGUCAGCAGGGAAGAAAAUGAAGGUACCUGAAGAAGAAGCCCCGGCUAACUACGUGCCAGCAUCCGCCGUAAUACGUAGGGGGCAAGCGUUAUCCUGAUUUACUGGGUGUAAAGGGGGCGCAGACGGCGUUGCAAGCCAGGAGUGAAAGCACGGGGCCCAACCCCGGGACUGUUCUUGGAACUGAGUGGCUGGAGUGCAGGAGGGGCAGGCGGAAUUCCGGGUGUAGCGGUGAAAUGCGUAGAUAUCAGGAGGAACACCGGUGGCGAAGGCGGCCGGCUGGACUGCAACUGACGUUGAGGCCCGAAAGCGUGGGGAGCAAACAGUAUUAGAUACCCGUGUAGUC
RNAcentral lists this ribosomal RNA (440 nucleotides) under uncultured bacterium. Its description in RNAcentral is "partial 16S ribosomal RNA". It matches the Rfam family "Bacterial small subunit ribosomal RNA", at positions 338 to 795 of the family's 1533-position model. The record is from RNAcentral.